UCUAAUUAUUUUACACAAAUGAGUAUGUCAAUCGAUAAAACUCCAUAAAAGAUGCAAACCUAGAAAAAUCUGGCUCAUAUUCUUUAAAAACAGCGGAGAUAUCAACGUUUGAAUGUGAAUUCCCAUACAAAAAUUCAAAAUAUCGGAUUCGACCGCUUUUUUAUGCAGCGCUACAAACCAUAUCACUAAACGCGUGGAUUCCACGCAUUUUACAGU
Long non-coding RNA from Bradysia coprophila, 216 nucleotides. NCBI's taxonomy places the organism in Eukaryota, Metazoa, Arthropoda, Insecta, Diptera, Sciaridae. The record is from RefSeq and is a predicted model, not a curated record.